Sorex fumeus (smoky shrew) is the source of this 134-nucleotide small nucleolar RNA. NCBI's taxonomy places the organism in Eukaryota, Metazoa, Chordata, Mammalia, Eulipotyphla, Soricidae. The record is from RefSeq and is a predicted model, not a curated record.
UUGGUCCUGAAUCAAGGCCAACAGUUUGCUGGACUUGUUGGUUUCAAGCGGGAGUCUAAAAAAAUGUCAACAUCCUCUAUGGUCAGUUGACCAUUUCAGAAGUGUAAUGAUAAAUUUAUUAGAAAGACAUAUUU